GUUGCUCUGAUAAUCACACACCUCUCCGUGGCGAGCAGCAGGCAACGAUCUUAUAGUCGGCUAAGAUGUGAAG
Molecule: ribozyme, 73 nt
Filed under: unclassified sequences
Description: HDV ribozyme from F. prausnitzii
Rfam family: HDV ribozyme from F. prausnitzii
Source: RNAcentral